UCUUCAGUGAGGUACAUCCUUACCUGUUACUCUCUAAGGAGAGUAUCAGAUCAUGAUGAAUGGAGAAACAUGAGAUAUGAUUAAUAUCUCCGUCUUGUAGGGAACUGCAACACCCUACAAGAUCCAUUCUGAU
Molecule: small nucleolar RNA, 133 nt
Organism: Platichthys flesus (European flounder)
Lineage: Eukaryota; Metazoa; Chordata; Actinopteri; Pleuronectiformes; Pleuronectidae
Product: U8 small nucleolar RNA
Exons: 1
Source: RefSeq, a predicted model, not a curated record